AGGACGAACGCUGGCGGCGUGCUUAACACAUGCAAGUCGAGCGGUAAGGCCUUUCGGGGUACACGAGCGGCGAACGGGUGAGUAACACGUGGGUGAUCUGCCCUGCACUCUGGGAUAAGCCUGGGAAACUGGGUCUAAUACCGGAUAUGACCUGCUCUCGCAUGGGGGUGGGUGGAAAGAUUUAUCGGUGCAGGAUGGGCCCGCGGCCUAUCAGCUUGUUGGUGGGGUAAUGGCCCACCAAGGCGACGACGGGUAGCCGACCUGAGAGGGUGACCGGCCACACUGGGACUGAGACACGGCCCAGACUCCUACGGGAGGCAGCAGUGGGGAAUAUUGCACAAUGGGCGAAAGCCUGAUGCAGCGACGCCGCGUGAGGAUGAAGGCCUUCGGGUUGUAAACCUCUUUCAGCAGGACGAAGCGCAAGUGACGGUACCUGCAGAAGAAGCACCGGCUAACUACGUGCCAGCAGCCGC
This 473-nucleotide ribosomal RNA is filed under the name uncultured soil bacterium. Its description in RNAcentral is "bacterial SSU rRNA". It matches the Rfam family "Bacterial small subunit ribosomal RNA", at positions 26 to 518 of the family's 1533-position model. The record is from RNAcentral.